AUCCUGUCUGAACGUGGGGGGACCACCCUCCAAGCCUAAGUACUCCUCAGUGACCGAUAGUGAACCAGUACCGUGAGGGAAAGGUGAAAAGCACCCCGAUGAGGGGAGUGAAAUAGUUCCUGAAACCGGAUGCCUACGAGCAGUCGGAGGGCGGGGCUGUGCCUACGGGCGCGGCCGGUGCCUGACGGCGUACCUUUUGUAUAAUGGGUCAGCGAGUUUGUCUUUCCAGCGAGCUUAAGCCGGUAGGCGUAGGCGCAGCGAAAGCGAGUCUGAAGAGGGCGCUGAGUUGGAUGGAUAAGACCCGAAACCGGGUGAUCUAGCCAUGGGCAGGCUGAAGGUGGGGUAACACCCACUGGAGGGCCGCACCCACCUAUGUUGAAAAAUGGGGGGAUGACCUGUGGCUAGGGGUGAAAGGCCAAUCAAACCCGGAGAUAGCUGGUUCUCCGCGAAAGCUAUUUAGGUAGCGCGUUGCGUGAUGGCCGCCGGGGGUAGAGCACUGGAUGGGUGCGGGGGGCGCGAGCCUUACUAAACCUAACCAAACUCCGAAUACCGGCGAGCUUAGCGCGGCAGACAGACCAUGGGUGAUAAGGUCCGUGGUCGAAAGGGAAACAGCCCAGACCGCCGGCUAAGGUCCCCAAGUCAUGGCUAAGUGGAAAAGGAAGUGGGAAGGCCAAGACAACCAGGAAGUUGGCUUAGAAGCAGCCAUCUUUUAAAGAAAGCGUAACAGCUCACUGGUCUAGGCAAGCCGUCCCGCGCCGAAGAUGUACCGGGGCUCAAGCCAUGCACCGAAGCCGCGGAUUCAGAGGUCAGAAGACAGGGAUCAGGCAUCAGAUGACCAAGGACGAGGGCCCGGUUCGAACGUUUGAGGAUCUUACCGUCUUCAAGCGCGCCUAUCGGGUGUCGUUGGAGGUUCAUCGGAUGAGCCUGACGUUCCCAAAACUGGAGCAGUAUGCUCUUGGCGAUCAGGUUCGACGGGCGUCGAAGUCGAUCUGUGCGAACAUUGCCGAGGGCUUUGGCAAGCAGCGUCAAUCGAAGGCGGAGUUCAAGCGUUAUCUGCUGAUGGCGCUGGGCUCGGCCGACGAGAUGC
Molecule: ribosomal RNA, 1087 nt
Filed under: Dehalococcoidia bacterium
Lineage: Bacteria; Bacillati; Chloroflexota; Dehalococcoidia
Description: partial 23S ribosomal RNA
Rfam family: Bacterial large subunit ribosomal RNA
Source: RNAcentral